Molecule: long non-coding RNA, 312 nt
Organism: Ziziphus jujuba (common jujube)
Lineage: Eukaryota; Viridiplantae; Streptophyta; Magnoliopsida; Rosales; Rhamnaceae
Exons: 3
Source: RefSeq, a predicted model, not a curated record
UGCAUUUAGUACCGGAGGACGUAUUCUUGAUGCAUUUCGAAGUUCAUUGGGUCCAAAGAUGGUGGAGGCUUUGAUUUGUUCACAAAAUUGGUUGAAAUCAAAUCCUAUGAGAUAUGAUUAUAAAGUUGAAGUACCAAUUGAGGAUGUUGCAUAUUAUGAUUCUAUUGAAUCAGGAGCAUCUUGUGUUACAAAACAAAAUCUACCUCCAUCUAAUUGAUCUAUGAUUGCUUGGAUGAAUGAAAUAUGGCUUUGCAUGGCAUAUUGUGAUAAUGGGAUUGUGGUUGAUGGUGGUUGCUCGUGGAAUGAAGUGUG